Molecule: ribosomal RNA, 775 nt
Filed under: uncultured Neocallimastigales
Lineage: Eukaryota; Fungi; Neocallimastigomycota; Neocallimastigomycetes; Neocallimastigales
Description: partial large subunit ribosomal RNA
Rfam family: Eukaryotic large subunit ribosomal RNA
Source: RNAcentral
CGAGCACGCGCGUGUGGCAUAUCAAUAAGCGGAGGAAAAGAAACUAACAAGGAUUCCCUUAGUAACGGCGAGUGAAGCGGGAAGAGCUCAAAUUUGAAAUCUUCAAGGUUCUACCUUGACGAAUUGUAGUUUAUAGAAGUGUUUUCUGUUAGUAGGAGUGGCAAAGAGUUCUUUGGAAUAGGACAUCAUAGAGGGUGAGAAUCCCGUAUUUGGUCAUUCCUCCUAGCGUUGUGAUACACUUUCAACGAGUCGGAUUGUUUGGGAAUGCAGUCCAAAAUGGGUGGUAAAUUUCAUCUAAAGCUAAAUAUUGGCGAGAGACCGAUAGCGAACAAGUACCGUGAGGGAAAGAUGAAAAGAACUUUGAAAAGAGAGUUAAACAGUACGUGAAAUUGUCAAAAGGGAAGCGUUUGACACCAGUGUUGUUUUUCCGAAAAUCAAUUACGAAUGUUUUAUUUUUGAGGAGUUAUGACUUCAUCGGCUUGCUCCUUUCUUUAUGGAACUUUCUUAAUGCACUUUUCGGUUAACAAGUCAACAUCAAUUUCUUUUGUUGUAAAAGAGUAUGAGGAAGGUGGCUUUCUUUUCGGAGAAAGUGUUUAUAGCCUUGUGCCUCUACAAUCGGAGAGAUUGAGGUCUGCAGCGUAGAUCCUUCGGGGUUAGAUACGUUUGUGCUAAGUUAUAGCUUUUCAUAGACAACUUGUUGACUAUGUUUAGUCUUGUAGCUUACUCGCUUAUGCUAUUUUACCUACGCUUAGGAUGUUGAUGUGAUACUGCGAGC